Molecule: ribosomal RNA, 500 nt
Filed under: uncultured bacterium
Lineage: Bacteria
Description: bacterial SSU rRNA
Rfam family: Bacterial small subunit ribosomal RNA
Source: RNAcentral
GAUGAACGCUAGCUACAGGCUUAACACAUGCAAGUCGAGGGGAAACGAUAUUGGAAGCUUGCUUCCGAUAGGCGUCGACCGGCGCACGGGUGAGUAACGCGUAUCCAACCUGCCCAUCACUUGGGGAUAACCUUGCGAAAGUAAGACUAAUACCCAAUGACGUCUCUAGAAGACAUCUGAAGGAGAUUAAAGAUUUAUCGGUGAUGGAUGGGGAUGCGUCUGAUUAGCUUGUUGGCGGGGUAACGGCCCACCAAGGCGACGAUCAGUAGGGGUUCUGAGAGGAAGGUCCCCCCACAUUGGAACUGAGACACGGUCCAAACUCCUACGGGAGGCAGCAGUGAGGAAUAUUGGUCAAAUGGGACGAGAGUCUGAACCAGCCAAGUAGCGUGCAGGAUGACGGCCCUAUGGGUUGUAAACUGCUUUUAUAAGGGAUAAAGUGAGUCUCGUGAGGCUUUUUGCAUGUACCUUAUGAAUAAGACCGGCUAAUUCCGUGCCAGCAG